UGAGGAGCUGUAGUGGGCGUGAGGAGCUUCAGUGGGCGUGAGGAGCUGCAGUGGGCGUGAGGAGCUUCAUUGGGUGUGAGGAGCUUCAAUGGGUGUGGAUGUCACCGCCCUGGGACCCCUUGUCCUAUAAUAAAUAGCCCUCAGCUGCACAUAAUACACAAUCUGCUUGUGACACCCAUAAGGACUCACAUCUCGGCUGAGCGCUGCUGUAACUGACCCAUCAUGAGAGCUGUGGUAGUUCUGGUGCUUGCUCUCUAUAUUUUGGCAGUUAUAGCCUCCACAGAAGCUGUUCCUUUAGCUUUUCGGAAAAAGAUGUUAGGCAGAAGGUACUAACUAAUAUACAGAAUGGUAGCGUUGAAGUGUUGAUUACAGGACAUCUGAAUCCAAUAUGGAAAAAAACAGCAAGAAUCCACUACCUGACAAAGGAUCACAAUACCUGCACAGUCUGCCACUGAGAAGAUUCCACCAAUAGAAUCUGCUGAACUCUGGAUAAGCCGAACAAUGGCAAAGAUGGACUUAUGAUUGUAUUCUCAAUUAAAGUGUUUUUCUCAUACAGUCCAACCUUGUUCAAUAGUAAAAGGAAUCCUGUUUGUUAAAUAAAAAUGAUCAUUCCUAAAUAAUGUCUAACCCAUCAAUUAGUUAUAUGCAAUAAAAUCAAAGUUUCAGUUGA
Molecule: long non-coding RNA, 670 nt
Organism: Bombina bombina (fire-bellied toad)
Lineage: Eukaryota; Metazoa; Chordata; Amphibia; Anura; Bombinatoridae
Exons: 2
Source: RefSeq, a predicted model, not a curated record